AGAUUCUGCGAAGGGACUGACGGCCAGAAGACAGAAAAUCCAGCAACGCUUAUAUAUCAAGAAAAGAAGCGGGGCACGAUUGCUCAUGCCUGUAAUGCUAGCACUUUGGGAGGCCGAGGAGGCCGGAUCACCUGAGGUUGGGAGUUUGAGACCAGCCUGGCCAACAGAGUGAAACCCCGACUCUACUAAAAAAAUACAAAAAUUAGCCAGACGUGGAGGCGCGGGCCUGUAGUCCUAGGUACUUGGGAGGCUGAGGCAGGACAAUUGCUUGAACCUGGGAGGUAGAGGUUGCAGUGAGUCAAGAUGGCGCUACUGCACUCCAGCCUGGGCAACAGAGUGAGACCCUGUCUCAAAACAAACAAACAAACAAACAAACGAACAAACAAACAACAGAAAUCCUAAAUUUUCAAAAUGUUUUUCUAUAACCUCUUUCCCGAUCAUCAUCCAAUGAACUUCCUGCAAAAGCUCAAUCCCUUUCUGGGGACCGCUGCAUCAGUAAUCAAACUGCCUUCCUAAGGUGUGUGUUGUAGCAGGAGAGAAGUGGGGAAGUAGAGUCAGGCUACAGGCCACAGUUGCAACCUACAACUAAUCCAGAAAGUUGAGCACAAGGCAACAGAAAUGAGGCGUCUCCCAAGUGUCCAACCUGUCAGAAGCAGCCAGAGGGGUCACAGUCCCUGAGAGGUGCCCUCCUUGAACUUACAGCUUUUGGCAGGAAUCACAGGUUAGAAAUACAUUCGAUGGCCAGGCGCGGUGGCUCAUGCCUGCAAUCCCAGCACUUUGGGAGGCUGAGGCGGGAGGAUCACCUGAGGUCAGGAGUUCGAAACCAGCCUGGCCAACAUGGUGAAGCCCCGUCUCUACUAAAAAUACAAAAAUUAGCCAGGCAUGGUGGCGUAUGCCUGUAAUCCCAGCUACUUGGGAGGCUGAGGCAGGAGAAUUGCUUGAACCCAGGAGGUGGAGGUUGCAGUGAGCUGAGAUCACACCACUGCACUCCAGCAUGGGUGACAGAAGGAGACUCCGUCUAAAAAAAAAUUAAAAAAAAUAAAAGAAAAUAAAAAGAAAGAAAUAUAGAGCCAAGAAGCCAGUUGAUUGUAGAUGGUUUCCUCAAAGAAGAAGCCCUUUCCUUGGCCUGGCGUGGUGGCUCACAUCUGUAAUCCCAGCACUUUGGGAGGCCAAGGCAGGCGGAUCACGAGGUCAGGAGAUCGAGACCAUCCUGGCUAAUACGGUGAAACCCCGUCUCUACUAAAAAUACAAAAAAUUAGCCGGGUGUGGUGGUGGGCGCCUGUAGUCCCAGCUACUCGGGAGGCUGAGGCAGGAGAAUGGCGUGAACCUGGGAGGCAGAGCUUGCAGUGAGCUGAGAUCACGCCACUGCACUCCAGCCUGGGGGAGACAGUGAGACUCCGUCUCAAAAAACAAAAAGAAGCCCUUUCCUGUGGGCAUUUUUAUGUGAUCCAGAUGGUCCAGUCAGCAUCCAUGAUGUUUUCAGUUUAGGUCCCACGGAGGGUGCCCUAAGUCUGCAAUGGUCUCAUAGUCGAAGUGCUGUUCCUGGAGUGUGCGCCCGUUUUUAAUUUAGCACAGCACAUGCUGAGACUGAAACAGCACAGAGCAGACAGCAGUAUCAGGUUUUGGCUUACAGUCAGGUCCAGGCCAGUAGGAUCUGUGAAUUCAGGAAGCCACAAGUCAGUGGCUGUUCUUUGGCAGCAGCAAAGCCAAGAUGCUGCAGGCUAGAAGGUUCUGUUUCAAGUGCAAGUGACAAACAAGGCUUUCCUAAGCCUUUUUACCUCGUCAAUCUUAGAGCUGGAAUUGGUGCACUCAAAAACACGCACGGGCUGGAUGCAGUGGCUUGUGCCUGUAAUCCCAGCACUGUGGGAGGCUGAGGCGAGAGGAUUGCUUGAGCACAGGAGUUCAAGACCAGCCCAGGC
This is a long non-coding RNA of Homo sapiens (human), 1919 nucleotides long. Lineage: Eukaryota; Metazoa; Chordata; Mammalia; Primates; Hominidae. The record is from Ensembl.